Molecule: long non-coding RNA, 847 nt
Filed under: Nicotiana tabacum (common tobacco)
Lineage: Eukaryota; Viridiplantae; Streptophyta; Magnoliopsida; Solanales; Solanaceae
Description: long non-coding RNA (NTAB_LNC003351)
Source: RNAcentral
UGGCCACUGAAGAACCAGUUGUAGCAAACGAGGUUGCAAUUGAACCCGCCGCUCCUGAACCGGUCACGGAGGAGGAGAUUAACCCUCCAGCCAAGUCUGCAAAAUCAAAGAAAGAGCCUAAGGCUAAAAAACCCGCUGCCCCCAGGAAGAAAACUGCUUCCUCUCAUCCUCCUUACUUUGAGGUAAUUGAUAAUGGAGUUUUUCAUAUAUUUUCAUUUUUCAGUUUUGUUCAUGUAUGUUUUUGGUUUGGUUGAAUUAUGCUUUGAAGUUAAACUUUUUUUUUUUGGUUGCUGCAGAUGAUUAGCGAUGCGAUUGUGACAUUGAAGGAGAGAACUGGAUCGAGCCAGUACGCUAUAACGAAGUUCAUUGAGGAUAAGCAGAAGAAUCUUCCACCGAAUUUCAAAAAGCUGUUGCUGAAUCAAUUGAAGAAGCUUGUUGCUUCUGGUAAGCUGGUGAAAGUCAAGAGCUCCUACAAGCUUCCAUCGGCUCGUUCUGCUACUGCGGCUUCUAAGCCUGCUGCUGCUGCUGCUGCUCCGGCGAAGAAGAAGACUGCUGCAGCUGCUAAGCCCAAAGCGGCGAAGGCAAAGCCCGCUGCAAAGCCGAAACCCAAACCAAAGGCUGCUGCCAAGCCCGCUGCAAAGGCCAAACCUGCUGCAAAGGCCAAGCCUGCUGCUAAGGCAAAACCUGCUGCUAAGGCAAAACCCGCUGCCAAGGCAAAGCCUGCUGCCAAGGCUAAGCCCGCUGUUAAGCCCAAGCCCAAAGCGAUUGUUGCUGCUAAGCCCAAAGCUGCCGCUGCUAAGCCUAAAGCUACUCCUGUGAAGGCAAAGGCGGCUACUAAGCCAAAGGC